Molecule: ribosomal RNA, 1610 nt
Filed under: Prochlorococcus sp. AG-402-O23
Lineage: Bacteria; Bacillati; Cyanobacteriota; Cyanophyceae; Synechococcales; Prochlorococcaceae
Description: bacterial LSU rRNA
Rfam family: Bacterial large subunit ribosomal RNA
Source: RNAcentral
CGGCUUGAGUAGCGAAAACAUGGGUGAGAAUCCCAUGCCCCGAAACCCUAAGGGUUCCUCCGGCAGGCUCGUCCGCGGAGGGUUAGUCUGGACCUAAGGCGAGGCCGAAAGGCGUAGUCGAUGGAUAACAGGUCAAUAUUCCUGUACCAGAUGUGUUUUGAGAAGGGGGACGGAGAAGGCUAACCAGGCCAGAUGUUGGUUACUGGUUCAAGCGUUCGAGGCUUUGAGAGAUGGAGAAAACAUCUUGAGCUAAGGCGUGAGUACGAGCUGCUACGGCAGCGAAGUUGGUGAUGUCAUGCUUCCAAGAAAAGCCCUAUACUCGUUAAGACACAAAUGCCAGUACCCGAAACCGACACAGGUGGGGUGGUAGAGAAUACCGAGGGGCGCGAGAUAACUCUCUCUAAGGAACUCGGCAAAAUGGCCCCGUAACUUCGGGAGAAGGGGUGCCAGCGAGAGCUGGUCGCAGUGAAGAGGCGCAAGCGACUGUUUACCAAAAACACAGGUCUCCGCUAAGUCGCAAGACGAUGUAUGGGGGCUGACACCUGCCCAGUGCCGGAAGGUUAAGGAAGCUGGUUAGCUUUUAGUGAAGCUGGCGACUGAAGCCCCGGUGAACGGCGGCCGUAACUAUAACGGUCCUAAGGUAGCGAAAUUCCUUGUCGGGUAAGUUCCGACCCGCACGAAAGGUGUAACGAUUUGCGCGCUGUCUCGGAGAGAGGCUCGGCGAAAUAGAAUUGUCUGUGAAGAUGCGGACUACAUACACCCGGACAGAAAGACCCUAUGAAGCUUUACUGUAGUUUGAUAUUGUGCUCGGGCUCUGAAUGCGCAGAAUAGGUGGGAGACGUUGAAAUAGUGCUUGUGGGUACUAUUGAGUCAUCGGUGAGAUACCACUCUUUUAGAGCUAGGGUUCUAACGCUUACCCGUUAUCCGGGAAGCGGACAGUAUCUGAUGGGCAGUUUGACUGGGGCGGUCGCCUCCUAAAAGGUAACGGAGGCGCACAAAGGUUCCCUCAGGCUGGUUGGAAAUCAGUCGUUGAGUGCAAAAGCAGAAGGGAGCUUGACUGUGAGACCUACAAGUCGAACAGGGACGAAAGUCGGUUUUAGUGAUCCGACGGUUCUGCGUGGAAGGGCCGUCGCUCAACGGAUAAAAGUUACUCUAGGGAUAACAGGCUGAUCUCCCCCAAGAGUUCACAUCGACGGGGAGGUUUGGCACCUCGAUGUCGGCUCAUCGCAACCUGGGGCUGAAGUCGGUCCCAAGGGUUGGGCUGUUCGCCCAUUAAAGCGGUACGCGAGCUGGGUUCAGAACGUCGUGAGACAGUUCGGUCCAUAUCCGGUGUAUGCGCAGGAAUAUUGAGAGGAUUUCUCCCUAGUACGAGAGGACCGGGAGGAACGCACCUCUGGUGUGCCAGUUAUCGUGCCAACGGUAAACGCUGGGUAGCCAUGUGCGGAGUGGAUAACCGCUGAAAGCAUCUAAGUGGGAAGCCCACCUCAAGAUGAGUAUUGCCAUGGCUUAAGCCAGUAAGGUCACGGGAAGAACACCCGUUGAUAGGCUCUACGUGGAAGCUUGGUAACAAGUGCAGCGGAGGAGUACUAAUAGACCGAGGGCUUGACCAA